Molecule: unclassified non-coding RNA, 341 nt
Filed under: soil metagenome
Description: partial contains 5.8S ribosomal RNA, internal transcribed spacer 2, and large subunit ribosomal RNA
Rfam family: 5.8S ribosomal RNA (bases 1-120)
Source: RNAcentral
GAUGAAGAACGCAGCGAAAUGCGAUAAGUAAUGUGAAUUGCAGAAUUCAGUGAAUCAUCGAAUCUUUGAACGCACAUUGCGCCCGCCAGUAUUCUGGCGGGCAUGCCUGUUCGAGCGUCAUUUCAACCCUCAAGACCCCUUCGGGGGACUUGGUGUUGGGACUCGCGUUAAUUCGCGUUCCCCAAAUUGAUUGGCGGUCACGUCGAGCUUCCAUAGCGUAGUAGUAAAACCCUCGUUACUGGUAAUCGUCGCGGCCACGCCGUUAAACCCCAACUUCUGAAUGUUGACCUCGGAUCAGGUAGGAAUACCCGCUGAACUUAAGCAUAUCAAUAAGCGGAGGA